UCAGGGCAAGUAGUUUGCAGUCUUGUGAAUAUGACCAAGACAGCCCAGAAACCAAGUUCCCUUCUUCGGGCAAAAAAUUGAAAAGAGUUUGCAAAGGUGAAUUAGAAGAUUGCUUUUAUCCUCCUCUCGCCUUAGGCUGCUUAGAUGAAGAAGCCGGAAGCCCACUGGCACCAAACAGCCCAUCAGAGUCGAGAGCUCACAGGGCGGGACCAAGGCCAGACCGGUCAGGGGCCAUAGCGCACACAAAAGGGACAGGAGAUCCUGAUUAGGGAAUUUUCCAGAGGCUACAUGCUGUGUGAUCACAACAGAUUGAGUACAGAACCAGAUAUGAGAAUCCAGCUGUCUUCUGUUAAGAAGAAUCUCCACUCCGCGAACAGUUGCAUAGAGAGGACCCCCCACUGGACAAAGUACUGGCUUUUCUCCCACAGGUGGCAAUGACAAGCUAAGGAAGGAGAUGGCAGCUGCGCCGCCUGGGCGUUUCAAUGGAGAAGACAUUGCUGGGCUCUCGGAAGGAGCGUACAAGUGGAGGUGGCCUUGUUUGAGCUGGACCAGUCGGAUUCCGAAGAAAAGGGCGCUUGGGAGGAGAGUGCACCAGGCAGCCCAGAGAACAGCUUAGAACCAUACAGAACACACCCAGCUUCCUGAUUGAUCCUCAAGGCGGAAAAGGCAAGGUUGAUGUUUUGGACAGUCCAGCAAGUAAAUAAAAAAAAUAGUGAAAUAAAUUACCUGAAAAACUAAAUAAAUAAAAUUUUAAAAAGAGAGAGGGAAGGCAGAGCUUAUUUGAAACAAUGGCUCAGGUUGAAACGGCCAUCCUAGGGUUAACGGGAAUCACGAGCCAGGCUUUAAGCAGAAUUACAGGAAUAGUCAGGCAUUAACCAGAGUGCGCUGGUGGCUUUGACCCAUUUCCCUGCAGCUGAUAACUGACUGAGAGUCACACGGUGUGCUGACCACCUGCGUCUCCAUCGUUCCUAUAGACAGGCUCCCUGUUGCUAGAACAACCACACCUUUGACCAAACAUUGCGUAAGUUGCUUUUCACAUCCUGAAUUCCAUUGCAAGGGCAGACACCAGCCUAGUCUAAGACCCCCAAGGAAAGCAACUUAGCACAAGAAUGCAGUUCCUUCAUCUCUCUGCCCCUCACUUCUCGACCAAUCAGCGAUCCCCACACUUCACCCCCCCCAUCUUGGCAUCUCUCCAGAUCCCCUAAGACCUCUGUCCCCAAACCUCUCAGAGAGGUGAAUCUGAGGUAUCCUCCCAUCUCCUGGUUUGGCUGCCCUGAGAUUUUUAGAUUCUUUCCCUGCUACCUCCCAGUGUCUCAGUGUAUUGAGCUGCUGUACAACCGGCAAACGAACCUAUUGCGGUUACAACGUUGUCACGCCAGGAAGCACAUUUGUUAUCGGCCCUGAAAGUUGCAGGAAAGACCUUCGUGGUGGUAUUCCAGCCAACUGUGCAAAGCAGCCAACCUCCCAAGAGGGCCUAGUGCCACUCGCCCUCCACACGUCCUGCUUUCCUGCUGCUCUUCCUUUUCUCACUCCUGUUUUUGAAGCAUUUGUUGAACUGAGUCUCCUCCAUGUCACCAACACUGGGUUGGAUUCAUGGGUAAAUAUAUAUUUUUGUACUUGAGGAAUACAUUAGUUACUUACUGCUGCAUAACAAAUCAUCCAAAACUUAGCCGCUGAAACAAUAAACAUUUAUUAACUCAUGAAGUUCCUGAGAGUCAGAAAUCUUGGAGUGACUUAUCUGGGUCCUUCUGACUCAGAAUCUCUUAUGAGGCUUCAGUCAAAUUGGUGGCCAGCGCUGCGGUCACCUGAAAGCUUGACAAGGGCUGGAAGCUUUGCUGCUGUGAAGGCCACUUCAAGCUGAUCGCACGCUGUUGGCAAGAGGCCUAGUUCCUCGUCACAUGGGUUCUCCAGAGGAUUGCCAGCGAAAUGGCAGCUGGCUUCUCCCUGGGCAGGUGAUAAAAAACAGGGGAAGUACAAGCAAGACAGAGGCAUCCCACCUCCUGGUCUGCCUGUCCUAUCAUCAUUAAAUCCUUUCUCUGCUACGUCCCCAGUAUCACAGAGUACCGACUUGCUGCACAUCAGGCAAAGGAAUCCAUCACAGCUACAAGCAGGAACAUGCCCCCCCUCACCACUCCUGUUCAAUACGGUACUGAAUGUCCUUGCUAACACAGUAGGACAAGAAAGAGAAAUAAAGUGGAUACAUAUUGGAAAGGAAAGAAUAAAACUAUUUGUUCACAGAUGACAUGACUGUCUAAGUAGAAAAUUCCAAAUAGUCAACAGAAAAACUUGUGGAACUCAAAGGCAAUUAUAGAAAGGUUGCAAGAUAUGAGGUAACAAUAAAACUUAAAAUUUAAUUGCUUUCUUACAUAGCAACAA
Molecule: non-coding RNA, 2376 nt
Organism: Microcebus murinus (gray mouse lemur)
Lineage: Eukaryota; Metazoa; Chordata; Mammalia; Primates; Cheirogaleidae
Source: RefSeq, a predicted model, not a curated record